RNAcentral lists this ribosomal RNA (429 nucleotides) under Bacteroidota bacterium. RNAcentral's name for it is "Bacteroidetes bacterium partial 16S ribosomal RNA". It matches the Rfam family "Bacterial small subunit ribosomal RNA", at positions 355 to 776 of the family's 1533-position model. The record is from RNAcentral. Lineage: Bacteria; Pseudomonadati; Bacteroidota.
UAGGGAAUCUUCGGCAAUGGGGGGAACCCUGACCGAGCAACGCCGCGUGAGUGAAGAAGGUUUUCGGAUCGUAAAGCUCUUUUGUUAAGGAAGAACGAGUGUGAGAAUGGAAAGUUCAUGCUGUGACGGUACUUAACCAGAAAGGGACGGCUAACUACGUGCCAGCAGCCGCGGUAAUACGUAGGUCCCGAGCGUUGUCCGGAUUUAUUGGGCGUAAAGCGAGCGCAGGCGGUUAGAAAAGUCUGAAGUGAAAGGCAGUUGCUCAACCAUUGUAGGCUUUGGAAACUGUUGAACUUGAGUGCAGAAGGGGAGAGUGGAAUUCCAUGUGUAGCGGUGAAAUGCGUAGAUAUAUGGAGGAACACCGGUGGCGAAAGCGGCUCUCUGGUCUGUAACUGACGCGGAGGCUCGAAAGCGUGGGGAGCAAACAGG